Molecule: RNA transcript, 786 nt
Organism: Tachysurus vachellii
Lineage: Eukaryota; Metazoa; Chordata; Actinopteri; Siluriformes; Bagridae
Gene name: butyrophilin-like protein 2
Exons: 4
Source: RefSeq, a predicted model, not a curated record
UAAUGAAGGUGAAAGUGAAAAUAGUUUUCGACUCUCAGACAGAGUCACUGCGCCAUUACACUUCCUGCUGUAACGGACUGAUACAGGAGGAAUAUAUGUGUAUAUGUAGACAGGGGACAUUUUAAACACGGUGUUUAAACCCUAAUGAGUUAAAUACCGAAUAUGUGGCGCUCUAAAAUGUGGAAACACUUCAGUUAAAGUAUCAGAUGUGUUUAUAUGAGGAACAGGAAAGGAUUUUAUUAGUCUGAAUCUACAGAAAGAGAUACAGAAAGAUGGCGACUGCAAGCAAUGAGUUUAAACUCAUUGCUCCCAGAGUAGAGUUUAAAGACUCUGCUGUCACUCUCUCAUGUUGUCUGUCUCCUGAAAUCAGUGCUGUUGACUUGGAGAUCCGGUGGUUUAAGGAGACAGACUGUGUUUGUGUUUAUAAGAACAGUAAGGUGACAGAGGGGAGAGGUUAUGAGGGCAGAGUGAGUCUGUUCACUCAGGAGCUGGAGAGAGGAAACGUCUCCUUACAGCUGAGAAACUGUACAGAGUCAGAUGAUGGAUAUUACCUCUGUCAGGUCACUGAUGGAGACAGAACAGAAGAGAUUACAGUAUAUAUGAUAGAUCAGACUACAUCACUGCCAAAUACAGCACUGAGAACCAAACUACACACAUUUAGGUUAAAGGUAGAGGAAUAAAACACAGUCUGGCUGAUGAUUAAGACUUUUGGUGUAAGUAUAUCUGUCUAGUGGCUAAUGUGAGAUGUAUAACAGAUUGAUCCCUGAGGCACUCCAGAUUGAACAA